GGACGACGUAGUGGAAGAUUCCAUCUCAAAGAUACUGAAUGGCAUAGUGGAAAAUUCCAUUAACUGAUAGGAAAUGACGCAGCAGAAUCUUCUGCAACCUUCUAGAGUCCAAGAUGGCAUCAUAAGGGGGCACAGCUAGACGGGAAGUCACACGUAGGUACACGAGACCAAGCACAUGUGUCUUGCAGCUUCUGAUCUCAUCCAAAUCCACUACAACUUCAGACUGCUGGCUAUCUGGAAAACAGCUACCUGAGAAGCAGCAGCAGCAGCAAUAGAACCCUGAGGUUGCCCUGGCAAUGGCUGCCAUAGCAACUCAGCCAGCAGUCUUGCCAGCAGCAGCUACAAACAGCUACAGCGACCAGCAGGCUUACCUAUCUGUCACUAGAGGGCAGCUUUCGCCUCAGUAGUAGCCGUCUCUCUCUUAUGGCAGACAAUAUUAAGUACAAGCAGACAGCGCUUCCUUUUUGACAAAUCAGAAAGACCCUACUGAUGAUUCAGAGAGUUGUAAGAAUAGUAGAAAUGUAGUGUCUAUUCACUAUCAAGGAAUGUGUGGGUUUUGCCUGUAAAUAAAGUUGGAUGCCAAUGGUCUGAGUGAGAUCUUCCCCUACCCAUCCGAUAGUCAGUUGGCCAGCACUUACUGGAUGUUAAAUGUUACAUAUUGAAUGUUAAAAGUCAAAUAGUGUUAAGUAAAUGGUUACAUUGUUA
Mauremys reevesii (Reeves's turtle) is the source of this 705-nucleotide long non-coding RNA. RefSeq lists it as uncharacterized. The transcript is spliced from 2 exons. The record is from RefSeq and is a predicted model, not a curated record. Lineage: Eukaryota; Metazoa; Chordata; Testudines; Geoemydidae.